This 283-nucleotide ribosomal RNA is filed under the name uncultured prokaryote. RNAcentral's name for it is "partial 16S ribosomal RNA". It matches the Rfam family "Bacterial small subunit ribosomal RNA", at positions 524 to 803 of the family's 1533-position model. The record is from RNAcentral.
UACGUAGGUGGCAAGCGUUGUCCGGAUUUACUGGGCGUAAAGGAUGCGUAGGUGGAAACUUAAGUGGGAAUGUGAAAUCCCCGGGCUCAACCCGGGAACUGCAUUCCAAACUGGGUUACUUGAGUGCAGGAGAGGAAAGCGGAAUUCCUAGUGUAGCGGUGAAAUGCGUAGAUAUUAGGAGGAACACCAGUGGCGAAGGCGGCUUUCUGGACUGUAACUGACACUGAGGCAUGAAAGCGUGGGGAGCAAACAGGAUUAGAUACCCGGGUAGUCCCUGAGCGGG